CCUACGGGAGGCAGCAGUGGGGAAUAUUGCACAAUGGGGGAAACCCUGAUGCAGCGACGCCGCGUGAGCGAUGAAGUAUUUCGGUAUGUAAAGCUCUAUCAGCAGGGAAGAAGAUGACGGUACCUGACUAAGAAGCACCGGCUAACUACGUGCCAGCAGCCGCGGUAAUACGUAGGGGGCAAGCGUUAUCCGGAUUUACUGGGUGUAAAGGGAGCGUAGACGGCGAUGCAAGCCAGAUGUGAAAGCCAGGGGCUCAACCCCGGGACUGCAUUUGGAACUGUGUGGCGUGAGUGUCGGAGAGGCAGGCGGAAUUCCUAGUGUAGCGGUGAAAUGCGUAGAUAUUAGGAGGAACACCAGUGGCGAAGGCGGCCUGCUGGACGAUGACUGACGUUGAGGCUCGAAAGCGUGGGGAGCAAACAGGAUUAGAUACCCCGGUAGUC
This 440-nucleotide ribosomal RNA is filed under the name uncultured bacterium. RNAcentral describes it as "partial 16S ribosomal RNA". It matches the Rfam family "Bacterial small subunit ribosomal RNA", at positions 338 to 795 of the family's 1533-position model. The record is from RNAcentral.